ACGGAGGGUGCAAGCGUUAUCCGGAUUUACUGGGUUUAAAGGGUGCGUAGGUGGGCAGGUAAGUCAGUGGUGAAAUCUCCGAGCUUAACUCGGAAACUGCCAUUGAUACUAUUUGUCUUGAAUAUCCUGGAGGUGAGCGGAAUAUGUCAUGUAGCGGUGAAAUGCUUAGAUAUGACAUAGAACACCAAUUGCGAAGGCAGCUCACUACGGGAUUAUUGACACUGAGGCACGAAAGCGUGGGGAUCAAACAGGAUUAGAUACCCUGGUAGUCCACGCCCUAAACGAUGGAUACUCGACAUCAGCGAUACACUGUUGGUGUCUAAGCGAAAGCAUUAAGUAUCCCACCUGGGAAGUACGAUCGCAAGAUUG
RNAcentral lists this ribosomal RNA (369 nucleotides) under uncultured bacterium. RNAcentral's name for it is "bacterial SSU rRNA". It matches the Rfam family "Bacterial small subunit ribosomal RNA", at positions 525 to 896 of the family's 1533-position model. The record is from RNAcentral.